GACGAACGCUGGCGGCGUGCCUAACACAUGCAAGUCGAGCGGGGUUGAGGCGAGAGGUAACUCGAGCUUCUACCUAGCGGCGGACGGGUGAGUAACGCGUGGGCAACCUGCCUCAAGGUUUGGGAUAACAGCCCGAAAGGGCUGCUAAUACCGGAUAUGCCUAUGGCCUCGCAUGGGGCUAUGAGCAAAGGGGAAACCCGCCUUGAGAUGGGCCCGCGUCCCAUCAGCUAGUUGGUGAGGUAACAGCUCACCAAGGCGACGACGGGUAGCCGGCCUGAGAGGGUGACCGGCCACACUGGGACUGAGACACGGCCCAGACUCCUACGGGGGGCAGCAGUGGGGGAUCUUGCACAAUGGGCGAAAGCCUGAUGCAGCGACGCCGCGUGAGCGAAGAAGGCCUUCGGUUGUAAAGCUCUGUCUGGAGGGACGGAACAAAAUGACGGUACCGUCCGGAGGAAGCCACGGCUAACUACGUG
This 476-nucleotide ribosomal RNA is filed under the name uncultured bacterium. RNAcentral's name for it is "bacterial SSU rRNA". It matches the Rfam family "Bacterial small subunit ribosomal RNA", at positions 28 to 507 of the family's 1533-position model. The record is from RNAcentral.